This 230-nucleotide ribosomal RNA is filed under the name uncultured bacterium. RNAcentral's name for it is "partial 16S ribosomal RNA". It matches the Rfam family "Bacterial small subunit ribosomal RNA", at positions 540 to 769 of the family's 1533-position model. The record is from RNAcentral.
GUUAUCCGGAUUUACUGGGCGUAAAGGGCAUGUAGGCGGUUUUUUAAGUCAGAUGUGAAAGGUACCGGCUCAACCGGUGACAUGCAUUUGAAACUGAAGAACUUGAGUAUUGGAGAGGCAAGCGGAAUUCCUGGUGUAGCGGUGAAAUGCGUAGAUAUCAGGAGGAACACCGGUGGCGAAGGCGGCUUGUUGGACAAAUACUGACGCUGAGAUGCGAAAGCGUGGGGAGC